This 304-nucleotide ribosomal RNA is filed under the name Escherichia coli. Its description in RNAcentral is "bacterial SSU rRNA". It matches the Rfam family "Bacterial small subunit ribosomal RNA", at positions 1050 to 1354 of the family's 1533-position model. The record is from RNAcentral. Lineage: Bacteria; Pseudomonadati; Pseudomonadota; Gammaproteobacteria; Enterobacterales; Enterobacteriaceae.
UGUCGUCAGCUCGUGUUGUGAAAUGUUGGGUUAAGUCCCGCAACGAGCGCAACCCUUAUCCUUUGUUGCCAGCGGUCCGGCCGGGAACUCAAAGGAGACUGCCAGUGAUAAACUGGAGGAAGGUGGGGAUGACGUCAAGUCAUCAUGGCCCUUACGACCAGGGCUACACACGUGCUACAAUGGCGCAUACAAAGAGAAGCGACCUCGCGAGAGCAAGCGGACCUCAUAAAGUGCGUCGUAGUCCGGAUUGGAGUCUGCAACUCGACUCCAUGAAGUCGGAAUCGCUAGUAAUCGUGGAUCAGAA